RNAcentral lists this ribosomal RNA (253 nucleotides) under uncultured bacterium. RNAcentral's name for it is "partial 16S ribosomal RNA". It matches the Rfam family "Bacterial small subunit ribosomal RNA", at positions 524 to 776 of the family's 1533-position model. The record is from RNAcentral.
UACAGAGGGUGCAAGCGUUGCUCGGAAUUAUUGGGCGUAAAGCGCGUGUAGGCGGCUUUGCAAGUCGGGUGUGAAAGCCCUCAGCUCAACUGAGGAAGUGCGCCCGAAACUGCAGAGCUUGAGUACCGGAGAGGAUGGCGGAAUUCCCCAAGUAGAGGUGAAAUUCGUAGAUAUGGGGAGGAACACCGGUGGCGAAGGCGGCCAUCUGGACGGAUACUGACGCUGAGACGCGAAAGCGUGGGGAGCAAACAGG